AACGAACGCUGGCGGCAUGCCUAACACAUGCAAGUCGAACGAAACCUUCGGGUCUUUUGGCGCACGGCUGCGUAACGCGUGGGAAGCUGCCCUUAGGUUCGGAAUACCUCCCCGAAAGGGGUGCUAAUACCGGAUAAGGUCUUCGGACCAAAGAUUUAUGGCCUUUGGAUGGGCCCUCGUUGGAUUAGGUGGUUGGUAGGGUAAUAGCAUACCAAGGCGAGGAUGCAUAGCUGGUCUGAGAGGAUGAUCAGCCACACUGGGACUGAGACACGGCCCAGACUCCUACGGAAGGGAGCAGAGGGUAAUAGUGGACAAGGGGGGAAGGUCUGAUCCAGCAAUGCCGGGUGAGUGAUGAAGGCCGUAGUGUUGUAAAGCUCUUUUACCCGGGAUGAUAAUGACAGUACCGGGAGAAUAAGCACCGGCUAACUACGUG
This 433-nucleotide ribosomal RNA is filed under the name uncultured bacterium. RNAcentral's name for it is "partial 16S ribosomal RNA". It matches the Rfam family "Bacterial small subunit ribosomal RNA", at positions 29 to 507 of the family's 1533-position model. The record is from RNAcentral.